Favolaschia claudopus is the source of this 87-nucleotide non-coding RNA. Lineage: Eukaryota; Fungi; Basidiomycota; Agaricomycetes; Agaricales; Mycenaceae. The record is from the annotation of a GenBank genome assembly.
GCAUUAAUGGGGUAGUGGUAACCUGGGUCGUUGCCAUCUCGAUGGAAUUGUAUCGACCCGCCGGGGGUUCGAUUCCCCCUUAAUGCA